CCUACGGGGUGCAGCAGUGAGGAAUAUUUGUCAAUGGGCGCAAGCCUGAACCAGCCAAGUCGCGUGAGGGAAGACGGUCCUAUGGAUUGUAAACCUCUUUUGUCUGGGAGCAAAGCGCGUUAUGAGUGCCGUUAAGGCUAGUACCCUAAGAAAAGGCAUCGGCUAACUCCGUGCCAGCAGCCGCGUUAAUACGGGGGAUGCGCUCGUUAUCCGGUUUUAUUGGGUUUAAAGGGUGCGUCGGCGGAUUUGUACGUCCGCGGUAAAAAUUCGGUGAUCAACGCCGUAUCGCCGUUGAAACUGCAGGUCUUGAGUGAGUGAGAAGUAUGCGGAAUGCGUGGUGUAGCGGUGAAAUGCAUAGAUAUCACGCAGAACGCCGAUUGCGAAGGCAGCAUACCGGCGCUCAACUGACGCUGAGGCACGAAAGCGUGGGGAUCGAACAGGAUUAGAUACCCUAGUAGUC
Molecule: ribosomal RNA, 460 nt
Filed under: uncultured bacterium
Lineage: Bacteria
Description: partial 16S ribosomal RNA
Rfam family: Bacterial small subunit ribosomal RNA
Source: RNAcentral